RNAcentral lists this ribosomal RNA (460 nucleotides) under uncultured bacterium. RNAcentral's name for it is "partial 16S ribosomal RNA". It matches the Rfam family "Bacterial small subunit ribosomal RNA", at positions 338 to 795 of the family's 1533-position model. The record is from RNAcentral.
CCUACGGGAGGCUGCAGUGAGGAAUAUUGGUCAAUGGACGAAAGUCUGAACCAGCCAAGUCGCGUGAAGGAAGAUGGCCCUAUGGGUUGUAAACUUCUUUUAUAUGGGAAUAAAAUGUUCCACGUGUGGGAUUUUGUAUGUACCAUAUGAAUAAGGAUCGGCUAACUCCGUGCCAGCAGCCGCGGUAAUACGGAGGAUCGGAGCGUUAUCCGGAUUUAUUGGGUUUAAAGGGAGCGUAGGUGGUUUUUUAAGUCAGUUGUGAAAGUUUGCGGCCCAACCGUAAAAGUGCAGUUGAAACUGGCAGUCUUGAGUACAGUAGAGGUGGGCGGAAGGCGUGGUGUAGCGGUGAAAUGCUUAGAUAUAACGAAGAACUCCGAUUGCGAAGGCAGCUCACUGGGCCGCAACUGACACUGAGGCUCGAAAGUGUGGGUAUCAAACAGGAUUAGAUACCCGAGUAGUC